UGCGGGGUAGAGCAGUCUGGUAGCUCGUCGGGCUCAUAACCCGGAGGUCGCAGGUUCGAAUCCUGUCCCCGCUACCA
RNAcentral lists this transfer RNA (77 nucleotides) under bacterium. Its description in RNAcentral is "tRNA-Met". It matches the Rfam family "tRNA". Rfam says of the family: Transfer RNA (tRNA) molecules are approximately 80 nucleotides in length. Their secondary structure includes four short double-helical elements and three loops (D, anti-codon, and T loops). Further hydrogen bonds mediate the characteristic L-shaped molecular structure. tRNAs have two regions of fundamental functional importance: the anti-codon, which is responsible for specific mRNA codon recognition, and the 3' end, to which the tRNAs corresponding amino acid is attached (by aminoacyl-tRNA synthetases). tRNAs cope with the degeneracy of the genetic code in two manners: having more than one tRNA (with a specific anti-codon) for a particular amino acid; and 'wobble' base-pairing, i.e. permitting non-standard base-pairing at the 3rd anti-codon position. RNAcentral also lists the same sequence under 5 other names. The record is from RNAcentral.